CCCGCUCAGUCUGUCGCUGUCGUUGUGUCCUUGGGCAAGACACCUAACCCACCUUGCCUGCUGGUGGUGGUCGGAGGGACCGGUGGCGCCAGUGCUCGGCAGCCUCGCCUCUGUCAGUGCGCCCCAGGGCAGCUGUGGCUACAUUGUAGCUCAUCCCCACCAGUGUGUGAAUGUGUGUGUGAAUGGGUGAAUGACUGAUUGUGUUGUAAAGCGCCUUGGGGGGUUCCAGGACUCUAGAAGGCGCUACAUCAAAUACAGGCCAUUUAUCAUUAAAACAUUAUCGUAGACACUAUUGAGACGUCAUUAUUUAAAUAUAAGUUAUUUUUGUUCACCAUAACUUCAACCAAGAAAUAAGAUGUAUUGAUUUGAUGAAACCACGCUGUGUCAUGCAGUCCUAUAUGUGUAACACACACACACACACACACACACACACACACACAUGCAUAAAUGCAUACACACACGCUUACACACACUGCAGCAUGUUAGAAUCAUUUGAAUGACUAAUUUAACUACGUUGAACUGCUUUUAUAAUACUUCAUAAUAAAUCAUCACAUAUCUGUGGCAUCAAGGAGCAUCUUCUGAGUUCAAACACAGGGAUGGAGCACAAUGUUUACACCUGAAACAGUAUCAGGAUGUUUAACUCACAGAGGCCUGCAGGUCUUCUGUUUUAUGAGCAAAGCGCUGAGAACCCGCUUGUUAUGAGCGCUAAACGUUAUUUUGACGCUGCCGUGCGGAGCGGAAAGGAAACACAUUUCAAACACGGAACCGAGUCCGGCUACCGAACCGAGCAGAAUUCUGAUGACGUCACACCGGUGCGCGAAGGUGCGAUUUCCAACCCACAGGAGAGGAGGGAGACAGGAGGUUCAAAUGACACAAGAAUCCUCCUGCUGGGAAAACCUGGAGGUGGGAGGAGCAGCCUUUGAAACAUGGAAAGCGCUUCAAGAGAAACUAAACAGUUCAGCUAGACAGAAUGAGACAUCACAACUCCAGUUCUUAUCUAAAAGGUCUUCACCCUGAGUUCAUCUCAUCGGCAGCAUGGAUGGUAAGUUACAUUUACUUUUUUGUUGUUUGUUUGUUACAGUUUUUUUCUAUUGCUAGAACACGUUUUUCAAAACUGUACGUUUCUUUCAAAACUGCACACACAAAACCCCAAACAUAACACACAAAUUCCUAAACUGUGGCUUCCCUUUGCAACAAAACCCUGCCACCACAUAUCAUAACAUGUUCCCAAAAUAGAACACCUGUUUUCAUUUGGUAAACACAGCCACAUUUUCACAUGACACACACAUACCAUUCAUUGCUUAAACACAAGUAGCCUUUGGGUGAACACUACCAAGCAUGGAAAGAACACUGAAGAGCAAAACUGAAAACACAAUUGUC
RNAcentral lists this long non-coding RNA (1380 nucleotides) under Nothobranchius furzeri (turquoise killifish). Its description in RNAcentral is "lncRNA (ENSNFUG00015009334.1)". Lineage: Eukaryota; Metazoa; Chordata; Actinopteri; Cyprinodontiformes; Nothobranchiidae. The record is from RNAcentral.